GUCUGUCAGCGGGCGGAGGCCUGGCGCGGCCUGUGUGGAGCACCGGGAGGCCAUUGUGGCUGGGGCAGAUCUGCGCGCCGGAGGAGGAGGGGGCGGCCGUGGCCCGCGAGCGCCGCGCCCCGCCGAAGUCCGUCUGAGGGAGGAGACGAUCUUGAAAACUUCACCAGGUCCUUGAGAGAGAAAACUACAUGACACUACACCAUGAGUGACAGUAAAUGUGACAGUCAGUUUUACAGUGUUCAAGUUGCAGAUUCAACGUUCACCGUGCUAAAACGUUACCAGCAGUUGAAGCCCAUAGGAUCAGGGGCACAGGGCAUUGUUUGUGCUGCGUUUGAUACAGUCCUUGGAAUAAAUGUUGCUGUAAAGAAGCUGAGUCGUCCUUUUCAGAAUCAAACCCACGCAAAAAGAGCUUACAGAGAGCUUGUUCUUUUAAAAUGUGUCAAUCACAAAAAUAUAAUUAGUUUAUUAAACGUAUUUACGCCACAGAAGUCACUAGAAGAAUUUCAGGAUGUAUAUUUGGUUAUGGAGCUGAUGGAUGCAAAUUUGUGCCAGGUUAUUCAUAUGGAAUUGGAUCAUGAAAGAAUGUCUUACCUUCUUUACCAAAUGCUAUGUGGUAUCAAACAUCUCCACUCAGCUGGUAUCAUCCACAGAGAUUUGAAGCCCAGCAACAUAGUAGUAAAAUCAGACUGUACGCUCAAAAUUCUUGAUUUUGGACUAGCAAGAACAGCGUGUACUAACUUUAUGAUGACUCCAUAUGUAGUAACACGGUAUUACAGAGCACCAGAGGUUAUCCUUGGAAUGGGAUAUAAAGAGAACGUUGAUAUCUGGUCAGUUGGGUGCAUCAUGGGAGAAUUGGUGAAAGGUUGUGUGAUAUUCCAAGGCACUGAUCAUAUUGAUCAAUGGAAUAAAGUUAUUGAGCAACUAGGAACGCCAUCAGCAGAAUUCAUGAAGAAACUGCAGCCUACAGUGAGGAAUUAUGUAGAAAACAGACCAAAAUAUCCUGGUAUUAAGUUUGAAGAGCUCUUCCCAGACUGGAUAUUUCCGUCAGAAUCUGAUCGUGACAAGUUAAAAACCAGCCAAGCUAGAGAUUUAUUAUCAAAAAUGCUUGUAGUAGAUCCAGACAAGAGAAUUUCUGUAGACGAAGCCUUACGUCAUCCUUAUAUUACUGUCUGGUAUGAUCCAGCUGAAGCAGAAGCUCCUCCACCUCAAAUCUAUGAUGCACAACUGGAAGAAAGAGAACAUGCAAUUGAAGAAUGGAAAGGUAAAAAAAUUAAUAUACAAAGAAGUAAUGGAUUGGGAAGAAAGGAGCAAGAAUGGUGUGGUAAAAGAUCAGCCCUCAGCACAGAUGCAGCAGUGAAUAGCAACACCAGUCCUUCCCAGUCAUCAUCUAUCAAUGACAUUUCAUCCAUGUCAACAGAGCAAACAUUGGCCUCAGAUACAGACAGCAGCCUCGAUGCCUUGACAGGACCCCUUGAAGGAUGUCGAUGAUCAGCCAGGAUUGCAGACUUGACUUUGGAAAAGAACUCUUGCUUCCAUUGGGCCUGAAUUGCUUAAGCUUGCCUGGAAAUGCUGACAGAUCUGUGUUCCCAUCCACGUGCUGAAACGGUAUCAUAAUCAGGUUGUCAGACUUCCGUGCAAGUUUCAGAUAAGCUACUGGCUAUAUGUGUGUGUGUGUAUAUGUACAUAUAUAAGAGGACUUUCUCUUCACCUUGUGCCCAGACAAUGCGGCGUUUCUGUUUACUCUCCCCGGCCAAGACAGAGGUACAGCUAACUUGAAAAAAUAGUUCCAUUGUACUUACUUCGAGGAAGAGGUACGUACUCUUGCAAAGACGGUGAUGAGGUCUCCAGGCACUUGCAAAGCUGUCUGCUCUAACUCUGGGGAAGGUGAAGAAAAACUUAACUGCAACUUUGAUCUAGUUGCUUUCAUGGGGGUUUUCGAAUAUUAAAUGGAGGGUUAACAUAGCUGCCUGUCUAGAUAUAUGGCAUGGGCCCUCAGCCAGACUUUGACGCUGUAAAAGCUUUGCCUGUGACAGUCUGAAAUAAAUUUACAGGAACAUUGUUAUUCCUUGCAUGGAGAACUUGAAGUUUUUUCUCUACAGGGCAAUGCAGCGGAGUAUCUGGAUAGACCAGGGAUGCCCUGUAGAUCCCGGAGCGCCCCUUUAUUUGAUGAUAGGAUACUUUUCAGGUUGCUUCUUCAGCUGCAGAGGACCUGAUUCUUUAAAUGGAGAACAAAUAGAAAAAGAAUUAAGCAGGACCAAGACGUGCAUGCAGGGAAGUUCUUUACAUAGCACUGCCCAAGUACAUUCCUUGUCUGAUGUCAUACCUUUUCUUUAUAUUUUCUGCAAGUUCUUGAAGCUGGCAGGACAGUUCUAGAAAGGUAAAGAGGGAGGGAACUGACUAAACAAGACCCAAAUAAUUUUUGAGGAAAGUGGGACUUCAGAAGUGGGGUUUUUGUUUCAUAGUAAUGAGGUCUCAGAAGGUGAAAAAAAAUAUGGAACAAAGAAACAAGAAGAAUGUAAGUGCAUGGAAUUCAAAUUAAAAUGCAGUGUUCAUGAUUACUUGGUGUGAAGGCAAGGCGGCAAAGAAACAAGUAACGGUUCGACAGUGCACUGGUGGAGACUAGGCAAUGCGUGGAAGGGGUGGGCCAGCGUGCUCUUAGGAGUAAAGGGCCUGCAGCAGGGCCCUGGGGACGGAAUAGGGCAGGGCUGCUUCCCUCCAUGAGCCUGGUGGGAUAAGACUGGGUUUUUUUGAUUCACUCGUGUUUAAUCUUAAACUGCUCGCUGCUCUCUGGGGAAGGAGAAAAACAUCUGUGCAGUUUCUGCUCACACAGCAUAAGCUGUUUUAGUGAGUUAUUGAGUUAUCAAGUAGAUGGUCACUCUUAUAUUUAAUCUUGCUGAAGAGCAAAUAACGAACCAUAUGUUUUUCCUGUAUAAAAUAUACUUUUAAAUUCAGUACAGGUUUCGGUAUACAGAUGGCAUUGUUCAUGUUAAAGUUCUGCAGUGGGUUAAAAGAACAGCAGUUAUUUUCUUGGUAUUUAUGUGUCAUUAAGUCUGGUAUGUAAAUAGUUAAUACCUUUCUUGUGUGGAGAGAGGUAGCUCUGAAGAGAUGUGCACGAGGGGGCCUCCCAGUGAUGAUCUUCAGACUAAUGUGUUCUCACGGGAGUCCUGUAUGGAGGCUAAUUAUGAUCCAGAGGAGCAAAUGGCUUUGUAAGAGACCCCUCCUCCUCCUUCAGUGAGAGGACAGGAAUUGCACAACAGCUCUGGAUCCCAGACACAGGGCCGGGGAGAGUGCUGGUGGGGACUAUAGGGAGGUGCAAGUGGGUUGUCUCACUGUUUCUCUGUACCUGUCUCUGAAACGGCUGACUUCGGGAUGCAGGUAUGAGCUCAGCACUCUCCACAGCCUAUGUAAUACCUAUGUGACUUCUGGGGUGGCUGGUAAAACACUUGAGCUAGCAUGACAUCCCUUGAUUUAAAACACUCAGCCACUUAGGCACUUAGAGCAUCAGUGCAAGACUUAAGGCUAGCCAAAAAGCACCAGGGUGCUUCCCAGCACGCUGCACAGGCUGGCUUGGGAGUUGGCAGUGCAAAGUGUCUGAAAGACACUUCCAGUGGUAAGAGAAAGCAUCCCUGGCAUUAGCAGGGUGGUGCUGAGCUCCUGGAGUUCAGGGAUCCCAACGAGUUUGUAUGAACAGCUCACUUUAAAAACAAGGCUGUCAAUUAUACUGUUGGGUUUCUUUCCUCACCUCUAAAAUGGGAGUAUGUGCUGAAAUCACGAUGUGACCUUUUUCUCUCCUACAGUUUAGUUCAACUUGAAACAGAACAAGCUCCUGUUUAUUUCCAUCUGUUAAUUUCCCCAAAGGUUUCAAAAAACUCUUCCAUUUCUUUUUGGAGCAUUUCAUUUCUUUUCUCUGCAUCUUCCUUUGCUCGCUCUGCAUUUCGCAUCUUCAUCUCCACAAGACUGUACCACUUACGCUGCUGUCCCAGUUUUGAAUGCAUAUCCUUAAUCUCUGACUGCAGCUCUCUGUUCCGCUGCUCCAGGCUGUUGGAGAGACAGACAUUCGAAGUCACAGAAUUUUCUUCCCCUUUUUUAGUAAAGCUAUAGGCUUUUUUUAAAGCUAGCUUUUUUAACAUACGUUGCCAUAAAUACAAGUAUUGGCAUCCCCAACACUCUUCCAAUUUAUGGGUAUUAUAUAUUUUUAAAAAGCUGCAAUUUUUGUUAUGCUAAUUUAGAAUAAAUAUGAAUAGCCAUAUGGCCAAAGGAGUCAGUUCUGAGGUUGGGGUUUUUUGUAGUGGUAUACUAGAGUAGUCUAACAAAUGGCAAUGCAACGUAUUUUAGGAAACACUGAGGAUUCUGCUUACGUUGCAGUUCCCUCGAACUGCAAGGGAAAACAUAAGCAGAAUACAGUAAGGAGCUUUUAAAAAGGGGCCAAAAUCCUAGGAAUAAUGGCAUAACUCCUUUUACUAAGAAGAAACUGACGAAUACUUCUUCAAGAAAUUACAGAUUGAAUGGAUUUUUUCUUACAUAAUGUUCAAGGCACAGUGUUAUUCAACACUCCCCACUUGCCAUCUGUUGCAGAGAUGCACGUUGAGGUAUUUUAUGAUUUAAUCAAAUAAUCAAUUUGGACAAUGUACCUGUAAGUUAUAACUAAUGAACAAUAUUGUAUUUAAAAUCUUCAUUCCAUUAACAACGCAAUAGAAAAGCAGCACUAUUGGGAAAGUAGAGUCUGGAAAUGUUUCUGCCUUUUUUUUUUUUUUUCCCUUGAUAACAAGCUAUGGCUAAAUCUCUACUCAAUUUCUAUUCUUAGACAUCAGGAAAAUAUUCAUGAACACUCCUCUGAGUUGUUAAAAUUCCUGACUUGCAAUUUGUAAAGAAUGGUGACUUACUGCUAACGCUGCUGCGAAGCCCGCACGUCUUUCUCUAGAGAAAAGCUUCAUACUGGAUUAAGGCAAAAGAGGAAAAUCCACGAUAGACCAGAGGCUUUUCAAGAGUCCUGUGCAGCCCUGCAAAAAAUCUUAGGGAUGCUCUGGAGUUUCUCAAGCACCACCCAGGAAAAUGACUUAAAAUAACUGAAUAAUUGCUAACCUAAUCCUGCAAUGCUGGAUCCUGGGUGACAUUCACAGUGGUAUGUGGAGGCAUUGCCUGCAGCGGCAUCCAUAGACCCUACUCGCAGAUAAGGACCUUGCAGUCCUUGCAUACAGUAGGAAAAGAUGCCUUCCCUGAAGCCUCAUAGUUUUAAAAGCCCUUUACCUUGCUAUUUUAGAUUCGUACUCAGCCUUCUGUCUGGCCAUCAGCAUCUUCAGGUUUGCCAGGUGGCUCUGCGGGGAGGUUGGGUUUGCUGGCAGGUCACUGGAGGAAGCAAAGCUGUCGCUGUUGUCCCCUGGGACGUGUCCUGUGUUUUCCUGAUCCCGCAAAACAUGACUUACAGCUGUGUUGGUUUCUUGGGAGACUUCUGGGUGGGCAAGUCUUGUCAAGUAUCUUGAGGGAGGAUUUUCCUCAAACAUCGUUUAGCAGUGGGAGCCUGCUGAGCAUGCCCGGCCAGCACCACCCGUGCCCUCUGGGUGUUGUCAGAGACUCAAUGCCUUUUCUGUUUUAGAGGAGACCUUGUUUUCGGGUCUGUCUUGCUCUGCCUUGUCACAGGCUGUGAGAGUUUUCUUCCUCCCCUCAGCUGUUUGAAGCUUUUCCAAAUACUUGGAAAGAGUCCAUUUUGGCGGAGCCUGGAUCUUGUUUCAGCUUAGCUUUUUGCACUCGGUGGGUUGAAGUCUUGAGCUGCCACGCCUGCCUGCUGCCCACUCGCCUUUAUCGUUAUGGCUGGUUUAUUCGCAUUUCCAGGAACUACUGCUGCGUUCGUGCCCUCAGUCUGUUCGGUGUAGUUUGUCUGACAUCUGUAGGUGGCCCACUUGAUAGCUCUCCACCCGACUAGUUUCAUUCGUGGGCUGGGGAGGUGAAUUCUGCAGCACUAGCCAGUCCUGGGGGUGUGCAGGGGGAGCAGGGUGCCCGCUUUGCAGGCUGCAAGGGCAGGGCUCCCUGUGUUCCACUUCAUGUGCAUUAGAAGAGGCAUGUUACAACUGUCUGGGGUGCUUCUAGUCGGUCAGGCGUGAGAAAAAUUGCAUGAAUGUAAAAUGGCUCGCUGUGCUGCCUCGUCUCUGGUGCAUCCGCUGUGUCUGCUUCAGAGAGAGCCGUUCAAGCAAGGGAGGCUGGUUCCUCCGGUCACGAUGUUUCAAGGACAAGAAGCUGGAGGUCAAAGAAAAAUAGGCCACUUGUCAGUUAUAUUUCGAUUCCUCUUGGAAAAACUCUCUGAUGUGAGUAAAUAUGGAGUGUUUAUUUUAGCUGCCUGUUCUCACAAGAGAAUCAAGCACAGCACAGAAAUAACUUGAUUACAAAAAAGGAAGAGCAAAAUAUGCGUGCAGUUUAAAUGCAUAUCUCAGAAAUCAUGGAGAUGGUUUAAAAUAAUCUGAAAAGUUGUUUUGUCUCCCUGACCUGCACCUGUUUGGUGCCUUGGUACAAGAAGUGAAAAUCAGCUGCUUUAAGUGCUGUUGGAUUUCUGUUUUACUGAUGUCCUAUGCGAAAACGGCCCCUGGUUUUCACUCUGCACCCUGGACAAGGCUGUGGUGUGUCCCUUGUCAAAGUUGGGGCUGAGAGGUUGUUCAGACAAUUCCCCAUUUAACCUGCGCUCUCUUCAGAAGGAAGAGUCUUUAGAAAUGAGCAGGCGGGUGGGUGAGCAUUUUAGGAAUCUAAAGAAGUUCCUGGGGUGAGAGUUAUAUUAAAAAAAGUAAAUAAGGCUUUAGCCUUCUGAGUGUGAGAUGCUGAACUGGAGGAAGGUAGGGAGAAAUCCACUAACUUGGCUUUGCAGAAGUAAAAUAUUACACUGAUUUGAACACCACCAUCAACACCCCUCUCUCCCCCCCCCCCCCCCCCCCCCAAGUACUGCAGUUGCUGCUAACCUAAACUUUUUCUCCAGAAAAAGAUAUGCCUGGAGUAUUAAUGCCAGUGCUUUACAUGAGUUCUGUGUCUAUUAAUAAUCUAACAGAUGGCUGUAGUUUCUGAUGAAUUGGAUUCCAUUUCAUUGAUUAAUCUGUUUUCUCCCCACCCCGAAGGAGAGAGGCAGCAGCUGUGCCGACCGGCAGCUGCUGUUGCACAACUAGGAGUGUCCUCGGCCCCAAUUCCCGCAGACGCCUCCGCUCGCCUGUCGAGGACAUGAUCGCUGCCUGUUGGGAGGCGGGUAGGGAGCGAGUCUGUCACCUCUGCUAAGUCAGGAUAGAGAAGCAGGACAGCCGAGAGCUCCCUGUUUGAGAGCGGACAGAUGGGGAGGGCUCCAACCUUCAUGGUUCCCUUUGCGGUUACAGUGCUAAACAACUUGAUGUGGGUGAAAUUAAGGAGGUCAGCGGGAUAUAGAAAACUUAGAGAGCUGUGCUUAAGGCAUGUCACAUCUGGUCAUGGUCACUAAGCCAAUGUAUUACUGGUUCAAGCGGCUCAUGUGGGAGACCCUGUGGAGGCAGCAGGUUUCAACACAUGGGGCAGGGACCAGGGAACAAGCAGCCUUUAGUCCUGUGAUUCCAACGCCAGAGCCGUGUGUUGGCACCGAGGCGGUGACCAGUUCCUUCUCUUGACACUUGACCACUCAAGGAAAGUAUAAAACCACCACUCAGAUGUGGAGCCAGCUGUGUGAUAAGGUGACUAUGGGAAAACCACAUGAAGGUGUAGCGUGUAGUGCUCCUCCGCUUCCCCUUCCUUACGCAGCCUAGCGCUGACGGGCACUUGUGUUAGCUCAUGCUCCUCUGGGAGAGCUCUCUCUUAUUUUUGGAUUUUGCUAAUUACACACCUUGACAUUAUCUGGGAGCUGAUGUGCAACAAAGACAGUGAUAGAUGAAGGGAGUCCCCUUCCCAGCUGCCUCUCACAUGUGCUCACUUCUAGUGCUGGUGUUCCUUCUGAGCAACAUGAAGCACGUCAGCACCGAUGCUCUCGCGAACGGGGGCUGAGAAGGAUGCGGCUUCUCCACUUCCUCCUGGCAGGCAGUGCUGGCAGGGGGCUUUAUAGCAGGAACCUCUGACAGCUCCUCCGUGACAAGUCAUUAAUGCAUGAGCUGGGCUGGCAGCGUCAGAGGGGAAAGAGGAAGAUGAGUGAAUAAAAUACUGCAUUGAAGGUUGCUGUACAGGGGACAGGGAUGAAGAUGAGGGAGUGAUGCAGAGGGUUCUGCCACAGAAAACCGUUUCUUCAAGCAGCAGCCUGUCAUCUGUGUGUCCUGCAGUUGGGUCACAGAAGGGUUUGCACAUCUGAGAGCUUUCUGUGGCAUGGGCCAGUACUGAUGACAACUGAUUUCUCAGAAAUCACAUCCCUGUGAUUCUUGGACAGUCCCAUAACAGCUCUUUUAUAGGGUGGCUGCCAAGCUCCAGGUUAGGAACUCAGAGUGCAUCAGAGCAGCAUCAACAGGGUAUGAUAGCUGGAAUCUCAUCUACUGUGUGCUUCCUCUCCUAAUUAUAACCUUGAUCAGGCACAGCACCGUAUAAUGUUGACUCCUGCCCCCCACAUCCCUCUGCAUUUACAUUUAUUCAUGUGCCAUGUUAUCCUUUCACCUCGUCUGUGGCCUCUCAGGGAGACUGCUCAUAUUAGUUUCCUGACAAUUUAAAGGUCAGCAAUGAAGAGAGCUGUGUAUUUUGUUGCCCUCAGGCAGAGGAAGGAGCUCCAGACUCUCAGCUUGCAGGGAGCUGGGAUGUUUCGAAAAAUUGUUUCUUAUUUUGGACUAACUUGGGAUGGAGCUUGUGAUUCUCUGCGAUGACCUCUCUCUGGAGCGCAGAGAUGCUGCCACGUGUGGUUAAAAUUUAACAUGCUUGAAAUAGUUCCUCCAGACGAGCUGUGGGAUUUAUCCUCCCUCAGUUCUGGUCCUGUGCCAGCUGCCUGUUCCCCUGCAUCGCCUCUAAGCUCUAGAAGAAAGACGGGAGUGCUCUUGCUUCACCUUUUGUAGGGUAUCAUUUGCACUGCAGACAGAUGAGAUGCAACUGUUCCAAAAAGGAUGCCCAGGGACUUGGCAUGGGUGAGGUUACUGCCUACGUAAAAGCUCAUAAUUUCCUUUACACAAAAGCUGAUGAUAAUUGGACUCUGUUUUUAUAAGCCAGGUUUAUCAGCAGUUUCUCCUCUUCACACUGGUGGUAGAGACAAGCUCAGCUGCCAGCAAGGGAGAAACCAGUCACCUGCACGCAGCUUGUGGGGCAGCCUCAACUGCAGCGCGUGCAGGCAGCCAAGUCCUCGGCAAAAUGCGCUCCAGGCGUACGGCGGAAUGGCUGGGUAAGGUAACACCUGAAAUCCGGCCCUGUGCCCCUGAGUCACCCCGCUCUUGAUGAGCCUGUCAUGCAGUUGGGCUGGAGAACAUGACCUGGCCUUGGGAAAUGCCGCUGGGAGGCUGCUGCCCUCUUCAGCAGGAUGCAGUCGGAGCUCUGUGUGUGGUACCGGGAUGGAAGGGUCUGAACUUUAAUAAUUUCUUAUGUUCUUUGAGAAAAUCUUUUAAUUCUCUUUAGUAACAGUGACACACUCGCCCUGAAGUAUCUCUGCUAAACUUGCUAUAUUUGAUAGUUACUUUGGAGCCAGGUUAGACCAUGCAUUUGUACGAGUUGUUUGCUUGCACACAUUUAUUCAGACCAAAUUUCUGCACCUCCUCUGCGUUAUAGUGAAAGAAACAGUUCUCAUGGACUGGCUUUUUACAGAAUGAUUUGUCUUGAGCUAUGUUUGGAAACUAGAACCCAAUAAAAGUGCAGGAACUGAUUUUUGUGUUAAAUGAAAUUACCUGUAAUCAACAGGCUUUGCAUCUAAAUGUGACUUUAAGGCUAUCUCGGUUUGCAUUAAUGAAUUGAAAGCUUUGUUCUUUCUGGUUUUUUUCAGUCUGGACUUCCAUGACGUUAGAACACUGAAUCCCAUAGUCUCAUCUCUUGUUUUCCUCUUGCAGUUAAAUUAAAAAUAAAAUCAGUUUCCUGUGCUUUUUUUUUUUUUUCCCCUUAAAUCCCUUUUGGUCUUUUUAACUCUGAAUGAACUACUUAUUGUGCUAAACAUGGUGACUAAAUGGAAACAAAGAAAAUACUCUCUUUGCACCUGCAGAAGGAGGCCCAGGACAAAUGACUCUUGGCUGGGGCAGUCUCUGGUGCCAGGUGCUUACCAACUUCAGGAGCCUGAGCUCUUCUAAACUUUUGGCAGCGAUCCUGUAUUGUUUGAUAGCAAUCCUUUGCAAAGAGAAAUAGAAACACAUUAAUAAGAAGCAAACAUUCAUAACUUGAUUUAGAAAGCUAAUUAAAUUUUUUAAUCUUUGCCUUUUUACGGUGCUUGUUCUUACAGAAAGGUGUUGCCACAUCCCAGUACAGCAGGAAGAGGCGUGUACAGCUGGAUGCCAUAAGAACCCGAGCUUUUCAAGCUCUGGGGCACGUCAGGAGUAUUGUACAUUGCCCUGUCUGCAUAACCUAAUGUUUUUGUGCAUAAAUACAAAGGUCUGCAGCUAGAUUGCAUCACAGAAAACGAGGGCGCUUGCUUUUGGGCAGCUGAAAGCUGCUUGAAAAAUAGUCUCUUUACUGUGACCCCAGUAAAGGGCUGGGAGCAUUUUUUAGGUGGUUUUUUUGUGGGUUUGGUCAGCUGCAGCUGACUGCAGUAUCGCCCUCUUCCCCUCCGGAAUGGGGUCACGUCCCUGCAGGCAGCCUCUGCCCAGCUGUAACGCUGUGGGGCUGGAGCUGGCUGGAGGCUUUGAAGUCCUUCCCCAUGGGAGAUGCUGUCAAAUGUAAGGGGCUGUUGUUGCCAGAGUGCAGGAAUGAGUGGGAAGGGAAAAAUGACCUUUUUUUCUUUUCUCCCAGAGAAGACUAGCAUUCAGCUGCUUACCCACUAGAUGUCACGGUUGGGUUUGGAUUUGUGCUUCUGUGGCCAGCGCUGCCUGAGCCCAAAUGCCUGGUGAGGAAAAAUUGCACUAUUUUUUUCAAGCUCACUGGCAGUUUGUGACCAGCAUCUCAUAAAAGCAAGCCAUAAAUUAAUUUUCAUCACUUAAGGGUAAAAAGGCUGGUGAGAGGCUUCUGGCAGGAGAGGGCACUGUGUUCUUUGCUGUAUCUCAGGGAAUGUGCGUUUAGGAUGAGUUUCUUUUAGGUGGGAGGCUGUGCAGCUGCAGAGCAGCCACCCCAUCUCCACUGUGGUGUGAUACAGGCCCUGUGCCAUGGGGAGAAGCACCCCAGGAAAGAGCUUGUGAGCCCAGAGCUACCCCGCUGCUCCUCUGGCCAUAUCACACUGGUUUCAAAUUAAAACCCGCUUUUCACAUUAUGCUGGGUUAAAGCGGGCAGAGGGGAUGUUGAUAGAAAGGGCUGGGGCGAAGGCAAAGCAAGCAUGGGGAGGGGUGAACCCAGCCGCAGUAUGGGCAGCCUCUGCCCUGCUCUUUAACAAAAGCAUCCUCACUAUAUAUAUGCAAAUAACUUUAAUCUAGGCUGAUUUUCUCCCUCCCCAGCUGUAUUUUGUGUCGUAAACAUAGGUUACCUCUUUGCUUUAAGUGUAGAGUUUCCAUCUGGGGGGGAAAUGGUGUUUUGUUCGAAACAUGUUCAAGUUAACUCUCUCAUCCUUCAUUUUCUUCUGUACAAUAAAUCCUGUCAUGUUAUAAUGGGGAAAAACUGCUUGGAAGGAACAUUCCUACACUGCCUUUUUCAUGGACUUUGUUUUUAAUUAGAGGCAGUUUUGAUGCAAUUCUCUGCUUCAGUUUUGUUUUAGCUCUGCAGAUCUGCAAGGAAGGAUUUCAAGCAUUCGGUUUGAAAUUGAGCGCUAAAGGCGAGCCGGCUUUCUUGUGCUUUCAAAAUGACCCUCAGCCACUCACAGGGAAUGGCCCGUUUAGUUCAGCAUUUGUAUUUCUGGUUAACAUUAAUGGGAGCUGCUGAUUUUCAGACUGUCCUUCAGUUUUAAGAAUUUUUUUUUCCAUUCAGGAUCUUCCCAAGGUGUGUUUCCAUGUGGGACUUUUGUCUUUGCGUAAGGACAAGGCUUUGACUUUAAGAUAGCAAAAAAGAGCCGAGAGCUCCUGCAGCCCUCUGCAAACGAUCAUUUUAACAAAUGCCUGCUGCUCUGCUUAAAGCGAGCUGUUGUGUUUAGCUGCAUUUUGGAUGUUGCCUAUAAACACAGCAGCUGUCUGCAUGCAAACGGGACUUUCCAGCAGUGCAUAAUAUGAAAAGAAUCUUAUUACUAGUUUAAAAAAAAAAUACACAAAACAAAACACA
This is a non-coding RNA of Phalacrocorax carbo (great cormorant), 12213 nucleotides long. The record is from RefSeq and is a predicted model, not a curated record. NCBI's taxonomy places the organism in Eukaryota, Metazoa, Chordata, Aves, Suliformes, Phalacrocoracidae.